This 277-nucleotide ribosomal RNA is filed under the name uncultured bacterium. RNAcentral describes it as "partial 16S ribosomal RNA". It matches the Rfam family "Bacterial small subunit ribosomal RNA", at positions 28 to 306 of the family's 1533-position model. The record is from RNAcentral.
GAUAAACGCUGGCGGCGUGCAUGAGACAUGCAAGUCGAACGGACUUCUCGGGCUUGCUCGAGAAGUUAGUGGCGGACGGCUGAGUAACGCGUAGGUGACCUGCCCCGAAGUGGGGAAUAACUGCCCGAAAGGGUGGCUAAUACCGCAUGUGAUCGCUCAUUCAUUUGUUCGAUCAAAGCAGUAAUGCGCUUCGGGGAGGGGCCUGCGUCCGAUUAGCUCGUGGUGGGGUAAUGGCUCACCAAGGCGACGAUCGGUAGGUGGUCUGAGAGGACGAUCA